CGUAUACCCUGGUGACCACCCCUACGGUCCUGUCCCUGGCCUCUGCCUCUAGCUGGAGGUGCUGGCGCAUGCCUAACUGCCUGUGGAGCGGGUAAGGCUAACCUGCGAUGGGGACACUCGCGGGCCCAAUGAUCUAAAUCCCCACACUCAUAACACCCCUGGGACUGUCGACUGAGAGCUGAAGGUCGGCUACCCCGGCCAGAAGAACCCAUCUGUGAACUAUCUCGGCCUCGACUAGGACCGGCACUACAACCAAUAUGGCGGUGCUGAUCACCCUCUGAUGCCUGGAGAGAAGCCUGGAAGGGGCUACUAGACUGACCCGACUGAAACCUCUGCUGAGAUCUAUCAUAAGACUCUCGGGGUCUGAAACGGCGCCUAUCAUAGCUAUCCUCCUGUCUAGCUCUCUUGCCGCUGCCCCCUUGGGCCUCGCGACGGAGCUGCUCGAUAGUGCGGGCAUGGUCCACUACAUCCAGAAAUGAGCGGCCCGCUGAGACUAAAGACUGAGUCUCAAUCCGCAACUGUAGUCUCAAACCCCGAACAAAACAACGAACCCUCUCCCCCUUCAGUAGGUAAUAUCAUGGCGGCAUGCCUGGAGAGCUCGUGGAAUUGGGCCUCAUACUCUGAUACUGUCAUGGAGCCCUGCUCUAACCGAGCAAACUGAUCUCUGAGCUGAUCUCUGAUGCUCCUGGGAAUAAAUCGGGCCAAGAAGGCCUCUGAAAACUCAGUCCAUGUGACCGGUGGAGACCCAGCUGGCCUGGUCUCUAAGUAUGUACGCCACUACUGCCUGGCGGGACCGUCUAACUGGUAAGCGGUGAAGUCUGCUCCUCUCGACUCCACUAAACCCAAAGUCUGUAGCCGCUCGCGGCAAGUAAGUAGAAACUCGUGGGCAUCCUCACCCACUGCCCCAGAAAAUCUCCGCGGUGAUAGUCUAAGGAACACCCCGAGCAUCUUCUGCUCCCGUAGUGGCAUGACGCCCUCCAAAUCGUCAGGCUGAACAACCGGUGCCGCUAGCGACUGAACAACCGGUACCGCUGGUGUAAACUGGCCCUGCGGUACUGGAAUGGCUGGAGCUGGGGCCUGCUGCAUACCCCCAAUUGCAGCUAGUAUCUGUACGAGCAUCGCCUGUAUAUCUGGAGUUGCCACAAGCUCGGGCGGUGGCUAGGCUGGUCCCGGGCCCAUCGAUUGCUGCUAGAGGAUCUAUCACCGGCUCCGGAGUUUGCUCUCGGUCCUGGGCUGGUGCUGUAGCUCUGGCACGACCUCGAGGUCGGCCUCUACCCCUAGCUGGGGCCCUACGACGCGUGCGAGCCAUCCCUAUCAAAGAGUGGUACAAAUAAGAAAUUCAGAAACCGAUAAGACACACAAUGCACGACAGUGAUACAAAAGCGACACGUACCUAAAGACAUGUUGUAGCCUCCCGAAGAUAAGUAACGGACGUCUCCGUACCGAUCUGUAGGACUCUACUAGACAUUAGCUCUGUACAAGUGAGACCGACGAACCUGGGGCUCUGAUACCAAUUUGUCACGACCCGAUUUAUGAAGUCAUGAUGGCACCUACUAUAACCCACCAGCAGGUAAGCCAACCCGUAACCCGGAACAACAAGUAAUGGGUCUGAGGGUACAAAUUAAACAAUAGUAGGCAAAAAACAAUAUAAACAGACGGAAGCAACACAAAAACAUCUAUACAAAUAAAGAUCCCUACCAGAACCUGGAAGUCACCAGUACAGAGAUACUACAAAAUGAGUACAAGUCCCAAAACUGGACAACAGAGACUGGACUAUCUCGAAAGGAAAAAGACAAGUCUAUAUAUACAGAUGGAGACUGAAAUAAUACAAAAUGCCGUGUGCUCACCCCCGCUCCGGAUAAGUCUACUCCAAGCUCGAUCAACGCUGGCUACUAGUGCUCGGACCUGCAUCACUAAAUAGAUGCAGAGCGUAUCAUGAGUACCAAAACAACAGUUACCCAGUAAGCAUCAUAGGACGACUGAGAAAGAUAAUUAAAAGUGAACUGAAAUGCAAAUAAAGGGUCACAUCAAGGCAAAAGAGUAGUAAAUGGGGGUAUGUACACGAGCGUACAGGCAACAAAGACAAGUAAUCUAACUAACUCCGCCGAGCUCCCAUAAACCCGACGGGUACGCUCGUGCAAAAUAAAAGAAACCACCUGCACGGACCCCCAUAAGCCCGGCAGAUGCACCGGCAGUUGAAGUAAAAUAAUGGAGCUAGAAGGUCUAUCAAAAUAUUACCCAUUUACGGACUUUUAACUAAACCAUUCACAAUUAUAUUGCAAGAUCUCAUUACGUCCCGGACUUUAAUCGGAAUCUCUCCAACUUCCAAAACCUCAACCUACAGAUGAGAGUAAUCAAAACUAAACUGAAGCUUUAGUGAGGAAUUGGGAAUGCACCACGUGCAAGCUGGACCACGGACUCGAACCGGGUACUAUAGCUAAUGAGCCAACCUAUAUGGGCUGGACCACGGACUCGAACCGGGUGCUGUAGCCAAAGGUCGGGCACGGGUGGGCUCGACCACGGACUCUAACCCGGUACUGUAGCCAAAACCAGAUCACAGGUAAGCUGGACCACGGACUCUAACCGGGUACUGUAGCUAAGCCUGGACAUAAGUAAGCUGAACCACGGACUUUAACCGGGUACUGUAGCUAAUAGAAAAGCAGGGCAUUAUGGAUACAAGGUCAUAAGCUGAGUUACCGACUAUAAGACUCAAGUCUCCUAUAUCAGUCUACAAGGAACUGACCGUCCGAAACGACGUCGGAAAAAGUUCUACUGCCCAACGACAUCUGAAACCUCGUAAGUCUAUCGCAACACUAGUCUAAGCCUAGACUAAGGCCAAACAUACUUCAAAUCAAUAUUAUCAUAUACACCACAAGGUAUGGAUGUUCAAUAAUAUCAAGAGACAUGCUGUCAUAAUCCAACACUUUCCCGAAAUCAGGUCUAAGGCAGUAAUUACAGAAAUUUAGCAUGGUCGACACCCGAACCCCUCCAUACUCAAGAAAAUCAAUAAACAAAUGCCUAAACAUGCUCAAUCUCACGAGGGAAAGCCAUAGCCUACCUGAAAAUCGAUCACGCGUGCUCCAACUCACGAUACCGGAUCUUUUCCCCUCCGAACGUCUCCAAAUCAUGAGUGGGAUAGUUGCAUUCGUGCGACUUAAGCUGCCUUGACGCAUAAGCAAUAACGCGGCCCUGCUGCAUCAGUACAUAACCCAAACCAAUGCCGGAUGCGUCACAAUAAACAGUAAACCCCUCUCCCUCAACUGGAAGAGUCAAUAUAGGAGCGGUGGUAAGCAACUCCUUAAGCCUCAGAAAGCUCCUCUCACACUCCUCCGACCACACAAACGGAAUAUCCUGGUGAGUCAACAGAGUCAAAGGCGCUGUUAUAGUAGAAAAUCCCUCAACAAAACGCCUAUAGUAGCCUGCCAAUCCUACGAAGCUACGAAUGUCAGUCACAGAGGUGGGCCUGGCCGAAUCACGAAUGGCUUCAAUCUUAACGGGAUCUACCAUAAUGCCAUCCUUAGACACCACGUGCCCCAAGAAUGAUACGGACUCAAGCCAAAACUCGCACUUUGAAAACUUGGCAUAAAGCCACUGAUCUCUCAAAGUCUGGAGCACUAUCCUCAAAUGCUGCUCAUGCUCACUCCGGCUCCGCGAGUAUACCAGUAUGUCAUCAAUAAAGACAAUGACAAAUAAAUCAAGGUAUGGCCUGAACACACGUGUCAUCAAGUCCAUGAAAGCAGCAGGGGCAUUAGUCAACCCAAAUGACAUCACCAAGAAUUCAUAAUGACCAUAACGGGUCCUAAAUGCAGUCUUAGGGAUGUCUGCUGCCCUAAUCCUCAGCUGAUGGUACCCGGACCUCAAAUCAAUCUUAGAAAACACGGCGGCACCCUGAAGCUGAUCAAACAAAUCAUCAAUACGAGGCAUGGGGUAACAGUUCUUCACCGUCACCUUGUUCAGCUGCCUGUAAUCAAUACACAUCCUCAUAGUCCCGUCCUUCUUCUUCACAAACAGAACAGGAGAACCCCAAGGCGACACACUCGGACGGAUAAAACCCUUACCUAAGAGAUCCUCUAACUGAACACUAAGCUCCCUGAGCUCUGCAGGAGCCAUCCGGGUUGGCGGAAUAGAAAUAGGCCGAGUACCUGGCUCAAGCUCAAUCGGAAAAUCAACAUCACGCUCUGGGGGUAGGCCAGGUAGGUCUGUAGGGAACACAUCUGCAAACUCUCUAACCACAGGAACUGGUCAUGAAGAGGACUGCGGCACCCCAUGGCGAUACACUAGGCCGAAUGAAUCCCUUAUCUAAGAGAUCCUGAAUCUGAACACUGAACUCCUUGAGCUCUAUGGGGGCCAUACGGUACGGUGGUAAAGAAAUGGGCUUAGUGCUCGGCUCUACUUCAAUAGCAAAGUCAAUGUCACGAUCAGGACGGAGACCAGGCAGAUCGACAGGAAACACAUCUGUAAACUCUCGAACAAUAGGUACAGAAUCAACGGUAGGACCCUCCCUACUAACAUCUCUAACAUAAGCUAAAUAAGUCAAACACCCGCUAGCCAUCAACAUCUGGGCCCAAACAAAAGAUAUCACCCCAACUGGUGUGCGACUACAAAAGACCUGCCACACCACUGGUGGAAUACCAGGCAUGGCUAAAGUAACGGUCUUAGCAUAGCAAUCCAAGACCGCAUGGUGGGGAGAUAACCAAUCCAUACUCAAAAUCAAAUCAAAAUCCACCAUAUCAAGCAAAAUAAGAUCAACCCUAGUGUAUCGCUUCUGAAUAGUCACCACACAGGAUCUGAUCCACUACUAAAGAAUCACCUACCGGGUUGAAACACGCAACGGCUCAACCAAUAGCUCUGGGAUCAUACUAAAUCGAGGAGCACAAUAAACAGAUAUAUAGGAAUAAGUAGAGCCUGGAUCAAAUAAAGUGGAUGCGGGCUGAUGGAAUAAUAACACUGUACAUGUGAUCACAUCAUCCGAGGUCUCAGCAUCUACUCUAGUUGGAGCUGCAUAAAAGUGGUCCUGGGCUCCCCUACCCUGUGUAUCGGCUCUACCCCCUAACCUGCCUCAUCAGGGACCACCCCGUAUACCCUGGUGACCACCCCUACGGUCCUGUCCCUGGCCUCUGCCUCUAGAGGAAGGUGCUGGCGCUGGCGCAUGCCUAGCUGCCUGCGAAGCGGGUAAGGCUAACCUGCGGUGGGGACACUCGCGGGCCCAAUGAUCUAACUCCCCACACUCAUAACACCCCUGGGACUGUCGAGUGAGAGCUGGAGGUCGGCUACCCCGGCCAGAAGAACCCAUC
This 5294-nucleotide long non-coding RNA is filed under the name Solanum tuberosum (potato). RNAcentral's name for it is "long non-coding RNA (STUB_LNC000669)". Lineage: Eukaryota; Viridiplantae; Streptophyta; Magnoliopsida; Solanales; Solanaceae. The record is from RNAcentral.